This is a long non-coding RNA of Nerophis ophidion (straightnose pipefish), 374 nucleotides long. RefSeq lists it as uncharacterized. The transcript is spliced from 4 exons. Lineage: Eukaryota; Metazoa; Chordata; Actinopteri; Syngnathiformes; Syngnathidae. The record is from RefSeq and is a predicted model, not a curated record.
CAGAAAUUGGAGACAGUGGAGGAACUACUCGACCUUGACGAGUUUAUAAAAACUCAACCAAGCAAGAAAGAUUUGCUGACAGCCAGGCUCUCAAAGAUUGGUGGAUAUGACUUAAAGAGCUGUUUAAGCAUCAUCAUGGACAGGCUCAUGACAAAUUAAUUAAUGUCCAAUCUGAACAUGAAGGGGAGAGGGGGAAAAACUGCCUUUGCCGAGACGAAGCUGCUCGAUGUAGUCACAGCUAGUGUCUUGGAUACCCAGAAGGGGACCGAAACGAUGGUCCAUGAUGCCAUAAAAAAUAAACUGAAAUAUACCCCUGGACGGAAGGGAGGAAUAGGAUGGGCAUCACAGGCUAAAUAAAUAAUUAUAUUGAUUGA